Molecule: ribosomal RNA, 595 nt
Filed under: uncultured bacterium
Lineage: Bacteria
Description: bacterial SSU rRNA
Rfam family: Bacterial small subunit ribosomal RNA
Source: RNAcentral
CCUACGGGAGGCAGCAGUGGGGAAUCUUGCGCAAUGGGCGAAAGCCUGACGCAGCAACGCCGCGUGCGGGAAGAAGGCCCUAGGGUUGUAAACCGCUUUCAGUAGGAACGAAAAUGACGGUACCUGCAGAAGAAGGUGCGGCCAACUACGUGCCAGCAGCCGCGGUGACACGUAGGCACCAAGCGUUGUCCGGAUUUAUUGGGCGUAAAGAGCUCGUAGGCGGUUCAGUAAGUCGGGUGUGAAAACUCUGGGCUUAACCCAGAGCCGCCACUCGAUACUGCUGUGACUUGAGUUCGGUAGGGGAGCAGGGAAUUCCUAGUGUAGCGGUGAAAUGCGCAGAUAUUAGGAGGAACACCGGUGGCGAAGGCGCUGCUCUGGGCCGAUACUGACGCUGAGGAGCGAAAGCGUGGGUAGCAAACAGGAUUAGAUACCCUGGUAGUCCACGCCGUAAACGUUGGGCACUAGGUGUGGGUUCCAACCAACGGAAUCCGCGCCGUCGCUAACGCAUUAAGUGCCCGCCUGGGGAGUACGGCGGCAACGCUAAACGUCAAAUGAAUUGACGGCUGAGAGUUGCGAGGCGACGACGAGGGAGAGG